Molecule: ribosomal RNA, 362 nt
Filed under: uncultured bacterium
Lineage: Bacteria
Description: bacterial SSU rRNA
Rfam family: Bacterial small subunit ribosomal RNA
Source: RNAcentral
AACGAACGCUGGCGGCAGGCCUAAUACAUGCAAGUCGAACGAUGCAGCAAUGCAUAGUGGCGCACGGGUGAGUAACGCGUGGGAAUGUGCCCUUGGGUGCGGAAUAGCUACUGGAAACGGUAAUUAAUACCGCAUAAUAUCUACGGAUCAAAGAUUUAUCGCCCAAGGAUCAGCCCGCGUCUGAUUAGCUAGUUGGUGGGGUAAUGGCCUACCAAGGCGACGAUCAGUAGCUGGUCUGAGAGGAUGAUCAGCCACACUGGGACUGAGACACGGCCCAGACUCCUACGGGAGGCAGCAGUAAGGAAUAUUGGACAAUGGGGGAAACCCGUACGAUCCAGCCACUGCCGCGUGAGUGAUGAAGG